Molecule: ribosomal RNA, 942 nt
Filed under: Vibrio parahaemolyticus
Lineage: Bacteria; Pseudomonadati; Pseudomonadota; Gammaproteobacteria; Vibrionales; Vibrionaceae
Description: partial 23S ribosomal RNA
Rfam family: Bacterial large subunit ribosomal RNA
Source: RNAcentral
UUUGUAUAAUGGGUCAGCGACUUAUAUUCAGUGGCAAGGUUAACCAUCUAGGGGAGCCGUAGGGAAACCGAGUCUUAACUGGGCGUUCAGUCUCUGGAUAUAGACCCGAAACCAGGUGAUCUAGCCAUGGGCAGGUUGAAGGUUGAGUAACAUCAACUGGAGGACCGAACCGACUAAUGUUGAAAAAUUAGCGGAUGACUUGUGGCUAGGGGUGAAAGGCCAAUCAAACCUGGAGAUAGCUGGUUCUCCCCGAAAGCUAUUUAGGUAGCGCCUCGGACGAAUACUACUGGGGGUAGAGCACUGUUAAGGCUAGGGGGUCAUCCCGACUUACCAACCCUUUGCAAACUCCGAAUACCAGUAAGUACUAUCCGGGAGACACACGGCGGGUGCUAACGUCCGUCGUGGAGAGGGAAACAACCCAGACCGCCAGCUAAGGUCCCAAAUUACUACUAAGUGGGAAACGAUGUGGGAAGGCUCAGACAGCCAGGAUGUUGGCUUAGAAGCAGCCAUCAUUUAAAGAAAGCGUAAUAGCUCACUGGUCGAGUCGGCCUGCGCGGAAGAUGUAACGGGGCUAAGUAGUAAACCGAAGCUGCGGCAAUAUACUUUUGUAUAUUGGGUAGGGGAGCGUUCUGUAAGCGGUUGAAGGUGUGUGGUAACGCAUGCUGGACGUAUCAGAAGUGCGAAUGCUGACAUGAGUAACGAUAAAGGGGGUGAAAAACCUCCUCGCCGGAAGACCAAGGGUUCCUGUCCAACGUUAAUCGGGGCAGGGUAAGUCGACCCCUAAGGCGAGGCCGAAAGGCGUAGUCGAUGGGAAACGGGUUAAUAUUCCCGUACUUCUUACAAUUGCGAUGGGGGGACGGAGAAGGCUAGGUGGGCCUGGCGACGGUUGUCCAGGUUCAAGUGCGUAGGCUUAAGAGUUAGGUAAAUCCGGCUCUUUUUAAG